RNAcentral lists this ribosomal RNA (639 nucleotides) under uncultured crenarchaeote. RNAcentral describes it as "bacterial SSU rRNA". It matches the Rfam family "Archaeal small subunit ribosomal RNA", at positions 477 to 1113 of the family's 1478-position model. Lineage: Archaea; Thermoproteati; Thermoproteota. The record is from RNAcentral.
CAGCACCUCAAGUGGUCAGGAUGAUUAUUGGGCCUAAAGCAUCCGUAGCCGGCUUUGUAAGUUUUCGGUUAAAUCCAUGUGCUCAACGCAUGGGCUGCCGAAAAUACUGCAUAGCUAGGGAGUGGGAGAGGUAGACGGUACUCAGUAGGUAGGGGUAAAAUCCUUUGAUCUAUUGAUGACCACCUGUGGCGAAGGCGGUCUACCAGAACACGUUCGACGGUGAGGGAUGAAAGCUGGGGGAGCAAACCGGAUUAGAUACCCGGGUAGUCCCAGCUGUAAACGAUGCAGACUAGAUGAUGCAUUGGCAUAAUAGCCAUUGCAGUGUCUCAGGGAAGCCGUUAAGUCUGCCGCCUGGGAAGUACGUACGCAAGUAUGAAACUUAAAGGAAUUGGCGGGGGAGCACCACAAGGGGUGAAGCCUGCGGUUCAAUUGGAGUCAACGCCAGAAAUCUUACCCGGAGAGACAGCAGAAUGAAGGUCAAGCUGAAGACUUUACCAGACAAGCUGAGAGGUGGUGCAUGGCCGUCGCCAGCUCGUGCCGUGAGAUGUCCUGUUAAGUCAGGUAACGAGCGAGAUCCCUGCCGCUAGUUGCUAUCAUUAUUCUCAGGAAUAGUGGAACGAAUUAACGGGACUGCCGUUG